Molecule: ribosomal RNA, 433 nt
Filed under: uncultured bacterium
Lineage: Bacteria
Description: partial 16S ribosomal RNA
Rfam family: Bacterial small subunit ribosomal RNA
Source: RNAcentral
AACGAACGCUGGCGGCAUGCCUAACACAUGCAAGUCGAACGAGACCUUCGGGUCUAGUGGCGAACGGGUGCGUAACGCGUGGGAACCUGCCCUUAGGUUCGGAAUAACUCCCCGAAAGGGGUGCUAAUACCGGAUAAUGUCUUCGGACCAAAGAUUUAUCGCCUUUGGAUGGGCCCGCGUUGGAUUAGCUAGUUGGUAGGGUAAAAGCCUACCAAGGCGACGAUCCAUAGCUGGUCUGAGAGGAUGAUCAGCCACACUGGGACUGGGACACGGCCCAGACUCCUACGGGAGGCAGCAGAGGGGAAUAUUGGACAAUGGGCGAAAGCCUGAGCCAGCAAGGCCGCGUGAGUGAUGAAGGCCUUAGGGUUGUAAAGCUCUUUUACCCGGGAUGAUAAUGACAGUACCGGGAGAAUAAGCUCCGGCUAACUCCGUG